Molecule: ribosomal RNA, 486 nt
Filed under: uncultured bacterium
Lineage: Bacteria
Description: partial 16S ribosomal RNA
Rfam family: Bacterial small subunit ribosomal RNA
Source: RNAcentral
AUUGAACGCUGGCGGCAUGCCUUACACAUGCAAGUCGAACGGCAGCGCGGACUUCGGUCUGGCGGCGAGUGGCGAACGGGUGAGUAAUACAUCGGAACGUACCCUGUUGUGGGGGAUAACUAGUCGAAAGAUUAGCUAAUACCGCAUACGACCUGAGGGUGAAAGUGGGGGACCGGAAACGGCCUCAUGCAGCAGGAGCGGCCGAUGUCUGAUUAGCUAGUUGGUGGGGUAAAGGCCCACCAAGGCGACGAUCAGUAGCUGGUCUGAGAGGACGAUCAGCCACACUGGGACUGAGACACGGCCCAGACUCCUACGGGAGGCAGCAGUGGGGAAUUUUGGACAAUGGGGGCAACCCUGAUCCAGCAAUGCCGCGUGUGUGAAGAAGGCCUUCGGGUUGUAAAGCACUUUUGUCCGGAAAGAAAUCGCGCUGGUUAAUACCUGGCGUGGAUGACGGUGCCGGAAGAAUAAGCACCGGCUAACUACGUG